UCAGUAACACGUAGUCAACAUGCCCAGGGGACGUGGAUAACCUCGGGAAACUGAGGAUAAACCGCGAUAAGUCACUACUUCUGGAAUGGGUAAUGACUCAAAUCUAUAUGGCCCCUGGAUUGGACUGCGGCCGAUCAGGCUGUUGGUGAGGUAAUGGCCCACCAAACCUGUAACCGGUACGGGCUCUGAGAGGAGGAGCCCGGAGAUGGGCACUGAGACAAGGGCCCAGGCCCUAUGGGGCGCAGCAGGCGCGAAACCUCUGCAAUAGGCGAAAGCUUGACAGGGUUACUCUGAGUGAUUUCCGUUAAGGAGAUCUUUUGGCACCUCUAAAAAUGGUGCAGAAUAAGGGGUGGGCAAGUCUGGUGCCAGC
This 370-nucleotide ribosomal RNA is filed under the name unidentified archaeon. Its description in RNAcentral is "bacterial SSU rRNA". It matches the Rfam family "Archaeal small subunit ribosomal RNA", at positions 90 to 462 of the family's 1478-position model. The record is from RNAcentral.